This 75-nucleotide small RNA is filed under the name Arabidopsis thaliana (thale cress). RNAcentral's name for it is "ATSL020150". The record is from RNAcentral. Lineage: Eukaryota; Viridiplantae; Streptophyta; Magnoliopsida; Brassicales; Brassicaceae.
AAAAAAUAAUGUUUAAUUUCACCGAACGGGAUUAGAUGGUAUGACAGGUUUAGAAUAUUAAAAUAUAUGAACUUU